GCCGGGGUGGCCGAGUGGACUAAGGCGGUGGACUUGAGAUCCACUACCCGUUAAGGGUGCCCGGGUUCAAAUCCCGGCCCCGGCGCCA
Molecule: transfer RNA, 88 nt
Filed under: Thermofilum pendens
Lineage: Archaea; Thermoproteati; Thermoproteota; Thermoprotei; Thermofilales; Thermofilaceae
Also listed under: 1 other name
Description: tRNA-Ser
Rfam family: tRNA
About the family: Transfer RNA (tRNA) molecules are approximately 80 nucleotides in length. Their secondary structure includes four short double-helical elements and three loops (D, anti-codon, and T loops). Further hydrogen bonds mediate the characteristic L-shaped molecular structure. tRNAs have two regions of fundamental functional importance: the anti-codon, which is responsible for specific mRNA codon recognition, and the 3' end, to which the tRNAs corresponding amino acid is attached (by aminoacyl-tRNA synthetases). tRNAs cope with the degeneracy of the genetic code in two manners: having more than one tRNA (with a specific anti-codon) for a particular amino acid; and 'wobble' base-pairing, i.e. permitting non-standard base-pairing at the 3rd anti-codon position.
Source: RNAcentral